GUCCACGCCGUAAACGAUGGAUACUCGAUGUAGGGAGGAAUCGACCCUCUUUGUGUCUAAGCUAACGCGUUAAGUAUCCCGCCUGGGGAGUACGGUCGCAAGAUUAAACUCAAAGGAAUAGACGGGACCCACACAAGCGGUGGAGCAUGUGGUUUAAUUCGACAAUAAACGGGGAACCUUACCAAGGCUUGACAUCUCCGGAACUUCGAAGAAAUUUGAAGGUGCCGUAAGGAACCGGAUGACAGGUGCUGCAUGGUCGUCGU
RNAcentral lists this ribosomal RNA (263 nucleotides) under uncultured bacterium. RNAcentral's name for it is "partial 16S ribosomal RNA". It matches the Rfam family "Bacterial small subunit ribosomal RNA", at positions 793 to 1055 of the family's 1533-position model. The record is from RNAcentral.